Thunnus maccoyii (southern bluefin tuna) is the source of this 2914-nucleotide long non-coding RNA. RefSeq lists it as uncharacterized. NCBI's taxonomy places the organism in Eukaryota, Metazoa, Chordata, Actinopteri, Scombriformes, Scombridae. The transcript has 5 exons. The record is from RefSeq and is a predicted model, not a curated record.
AAUGAACUUUCAUGGCCUCCACCAUUUCUGAAAAUGUCAAUAACAUGUCACAACUCAUGAACUUGGAGCUUUGAGAAAAUUUCCACAUCCGAAGUUGUGAAUUACCACAAGAUGGGGGUGUUCAUAUGGAUUCUUCUUGUGAACAUGAUAAACACGAUGUAAACAUGAUGAAGGCAGCAUUCAAUACAUAUGCAGUUAGACGAUGAAACGCUGGCAGACUAGACACAUCACAGAGACUGGGUACAUGGCUAAAUGCACUGUCUGGGAUGGAUAUUAAAGAGAACCAAUGCAUGUGAUGAAGAAAGAAAGGGGUGUAGUCAUGUCAGGAGGGCUUUUGGCUGUGUGACGGUGGAGGGUGGUGCCAGGCCAGGUGAGGUAACCAGCUCCUGAAGAAAGGUAAAAAGCAUGGGGCAGGUUUAGGUUGGAUUGUUGUCACAUCAGAGGUUUGCAGACACUUCUGUCUUUGUGCUGAAUUCUGUGGAGUGGAGCAGAGACAGCUGUAGAGGACCCUGUAGCUGUGUUGACUCCAGUUCCAACCCCAGUAGGAACAUCAGUGGGUGGGAACUUGACAGAGCCAGCGCCAGGGAGUUAAUACCACUCAGUGCUGCUGGAGGUGUGACAUAGUCCCAGCCCUCUACACAUUGAUUCACACAGGAUUAAGCCACUGCAUGAUGCUUCAGGCGGAAGGCCUGGCACAGCUGAUUUACCGUGCCUGUCAGACUUAACGUCUUUGGAGGCCUCCUCUGCCCUGCUCCUGCUGUCUUCUACAGAAAGACUAGUAAAAAGUGUUUCCCACCGCACCAACAAGAUCACCCAAAGGGAUGACUGGCAGUCAUCUUGCUCAGGUCUAUGACAGGAUGCAACUCCGGUCUGCAUGAAAGGAGUAAGAGAGGAAGCAAUGGGCUGGACUAUGACUCUGAAAGAUGACUUUGGGGUCAUUGCCUGGACACGGCGAGCUGGGAACUACCUCAGCCUCUUCUUCCUCUUGUCUCUCUUUUCCAUUCCAGUCCAACCAGACAUUGUGUUUCCUAAGGACCAUCAUUUCUCAUGGAAAACAGGGAAAACCGAGGGACUGUACCAAUCUGUAUCACAAUGCUUUGAAGUUAACAACAUCUUCGAAUCUAACAACACAAACUUCAGUUGGAAGAUGAAACGUGUUGUGUUAUGAGGACGUAUUUGGUGAAGUUGGGUUUAAAUGACUAAGCCUUCCACAUCUGUCUCAAAUUCAGCAUCUAUGAAGCAGCUCCGGGCUUUAUGUCACAAGUCUGAGUAUUACUUUCAUGUUGGCAAAUAUUGAUUUAACUUCCCCAGACCACAGACAUGAUAUAUUUGAAUACUUAAUUUGGCUGACAAGCUCCCUUUUAAUUUUGGACUUGUCAAUGUAGGGAAGAUGUGCUCUAAAUUAUGCAUAGCCACCCUAUUGUGUGUUUGGUGUGUCUAUCUAGGCCAGCAGCAUUGUGGGAUAAAUCUUUUGUGGGAGCCAGUUCCCAGAACUGUGGCUAAGCUGGGAGUCUCUGGCUCAAACAGAGAGCUGGAGCCAUUUAAGCUUGACCUUCAUCAGUGUCUUGGAGAGCAGAAUAAAGCACUGAAACACUGCAGCUAAUGGCACAAUUUAACUCUUUAAUUCUCUUUAUUUAACCCUUUAAAGUGACUGUUCAAAGAAAAUCCCCUUUAAACUGCCACACUUGCCCUUUUAACAGGAUGCUACAUGUUCACCAAUAACUUGCAGUGUGUUGAAAAGCAGUGCACUCAGAAUAGAACAUGAGAUGGUAAUCGGAGUUAACAAUCACCAUGUAAGCCUGUAAGGGGUUUUCUCUACAACAGAAGGUAGCAAUCAGUUCCCUGUAUGUCUCUGAUAUCCAAUUAUGUGUGAUAAAAUGAUAGGAGUAAUCACAUAUAAUAAGGACUGGAUGUUAACUGUUUCCCAUUGCAAACACCCUCGCAACACAUCACUGUGCGGUCACAGCAGUGAUUUGCAUUGCACUGUGUGUGGUUUGUUUUAUUUCAUUACAUUAGAGUUGCUGCCCUGUUGCAGAUUGCAUAUAACUAGUUUAUGUGUUGGGGGAAUUUAUUUUAGAAUAUAAUUGCACAAGUGAAAUUUUGCAUUUUAUAGCUUUUGCCACCUGAACUCUUGAGAAUGCCUCUCAAAUUUUGUUCGAGUGAUUAUAUAAAGUCCUGUUAUAGCUUCAGAAUGCUGAUAUCCUCCAAAACAGAGCUAUUAAAUUGGAUUUAUUUUGACUCCCAUAAGCAUCUGCAUUAAAACACGACAGCGAGACACUGUGCUCAUCCAGUGUCAGCUUUAGUCUGCUGAAGAAGUAAGAUCUUCUCUCAAGGGUUUUCAUUUUUCAUCUUUGAGAUUAGAAUAAUUUUUUUGUAGAAGGUCUUGAAAAUGCUGGGAUUCCUCUAUCAGAAGUUAUUGUUCUUUCUUACAGCCUAAACAGGCAAAGAGCUGCUUUAUUCUUACGUACAAGGGAGAGCUCAUCCCAGAUGGGGCUGUAGUGUGCAUCAAAGGUCUGCUCAUUUCUAAAAAAAAAAAAAAAAACCAAAACACACCUUUAUUAAAGUUUUUUAUUUUGCGUUUUUGACUAGGGAAUCCACAUAGUUUGGAAAGUUAAAUAUCUGUAUCUCUAGGGAGAAAAACGUGAUAAUACUACAUCAUUUUAACAAUACAUUAGAGUGUAGUAGUGUAGUGUAAUGUACAGUAUUGAGACUGAUUGAGUAAAAUAAUGCAUUUGUAUUUUACUAGCGACUAUGUAUUUCCUCGUUUAUGGUCACUUGUUUCAUUCAUUCAUUUCUUCCUUUUUUGGCUGUAAAAAUAUUGUUCUAUGUAGUCCUGCCAGGGUCCUCAGGAGAACUGAAUUACACAGCCUGUCUACUGUUCAUCUAAAUUAUGUGGGAACUUUCAGUUGUAACA